RNAcentral lists this ribosomal RNA (253 nucleotides) under uncultured bacterium. RNAcentral describes it as "partial 16S ribosomal RNA". It matches the Rfam family "Bacterial small subunit ribosomal RNA", at positions 524 to 776 of the family's 1533-position model. The record is from RNAcentral.
GACGGAGGGUGCAAGCGUUGUUCGGAAUUACUGGGCGUAAAGGGCUCGUAGGCGGCCAACUAAGUCAGACGUGAAAUCCCUCGGCUUAACCGGGGAACUGCGUCUGAUACUGGAUGGCUUGAAUCCGGGAGAGGGAUGCGAAAUUCCAGGUGUAGCGGUGAAAUGCGUAGAUAUCUGGAGGAACACCGGUGGCGAAGGCGGCAUCCUGGACCGGCAUUGACGCUGAGGAGCGAAAGCCAGGGGAGCAAACGGG